RNAcentral lists this ribosomal RNA (368 nucleotides) under uncultured organism. RNAcentral's name for it is "bacterial SSU rRNA". It matches the Rfam family "Bacterial small subunit ribosomal RNA", at positions 526 to 896 of the family's 1533-position model. The record is from RNAcentral.
CGUAGGUGGCAAGCGUUGUCCGGAUUUAUUGGGUUUAAAGGGUGCGUAGGCGGCCCUGUAAGUCAGUGCUGAAAUAUCCCGGCUUAACCGGGAGGGUGGCAUUGAUACUGCAGGGCUUGAGUAAAGUUGAGGUUGGCGGAAUUGACGGUGUAGCGGUGAAAUGCUUAGAUAUCGUCAAGAACACCGAUAGUGUAGACAGCUAACCAAGCUUUAACUGACGCUGAGGCACGAAAGUGUGGGGAUCAAACAGGAUUAGAUACCCUGGUAGUCCACACUGUAAACGUUGAUGACUCGCUGUUGGCGAUAUACAGUCAGCGGCUUAGAGAAAUCGUUAAGUCAUCCACCUGGGGAGUACGCCGGCAACGGUG